GCCAUGUUGAAGCAAUCCAAGGUAAAUACUUCAGAAAUUCAUGGCUAAAUAGUUAUACCCUGUGUAAAUGAAACAUGCUACUUGCUCAAGACGUGUUCAUCCAAUCAUACUGUGAUGGAAGGUCAACUAUGUACACGUAGGUACAUGUGUAAUAUCUGUAUAUUCCUAAUUAGUUUAGAUUCUAGGGCUUAAUUAUAGGAAUUUAUAUUCUUAAAUAGGACAUAUAAUUGUAGUAUGUAUUUGUAUGAUUCUAUCAAGAUGAUUAUGAAUGAUAUACAGAAUUUUUCAGUACAUUUACCAAGCCAACAAACCAAACCAAACAGGCCUUACUUGUUUGAUUAGAAAAUUUAGUUCAGUGUUGUUUGACAUUUCUGAAUAUCAGUGUAACCUGAACCGAUACAAAGCAAUAAGAAAUAUGUGAGAUUGUGUGUGUAUGUGCAUAAUAUUGCUGUUUUAUCAUCUACUAUACUUUUCAACAACCAGUUAUCUUUGAUAAGGACAAAUAGAGACAUUUAUGCAUACUUUUUUUUUUCAAUCGGUUAAGGUCUGAAAUGUUUUAACUGAUUUUGACCAAUCUGACAUGAAUUCCCCUACAAACUGCAUUAAACCAACCUGUUAAUAUGCCUAGUUUGCCCCUUGAUAAUAGUUGAACUUGCUAUUUUAAUUGUAGAUAUUUAAUCAGAUUGAAAUAUUACCACCUAUUGCAUUGUGGAGUUAUACAAGGCUGAAUUGUCACAACUAAGACAUUGAUAUUAAAAAUAAUAACAAUAAUUAAAAAAAAAAAAAAAAA
This 790-nucleotide unclassified non-coding RNA is filed under the name Hevea brasiliensis (rubber tree). The record is from RNAcentral. Lineage: Eukaryota; Viridiplantae; Streptophyta; Magnoliopsida; Malpighiales; Euphorbiaceae.